RNAcentral lists this long non-coding RNA (250 nucleotides) under Homo sapiens (human). Its description in RNAcentral is "HSALNT0057317". Lineage: Eukaryota; Metazoa; Chordata; Mammalia; Primates; Hominidae. The record is from RNAcentral.
CCCAGCUUUGCCCCUAAACUCUAGGUAUAUUACAGAGUUAAUUAUAGUUCUUGUUAUCUCUUGUUUUGAUGUUAUCUUCUUUCUAAAUUCUUCACAUCACCUGCCUUGUCUACCGGGGUUGGUACAGAUAAUUUUACAUUUACAUGUUAUUCAACAAAUAUGGAACAGAAUAGUGAAACACUUCUACAGAGUUUUACAAAACACUGUCAGUGUCAGGAAGGUAUUUUUUUGCAGCAGGAUAUUAAUGGAA